Molecule: non-coding RNA, 256 nt
Organism: Pelobates cultripes (western spadefoot toad)
Lineage: Eukaryota; Metazoa; Chordata; Amphibia; Anura; Pelobatidae
Source: the annotation of a GenBank genome assembly
GAGGGAUAAUCCACUUAACUGGAUAUUCUAGUGGGAGUAUUCCGCUCAUACAGCAGUGCAUGAUGGGAGGAAGGUCCAGGUUGUCAAGUUCCCCAUGUAGUCCCCUACUGUACAACCCCUGUAAUGUCAGUAGGGAAACCCCUUGCAUGGGGAAUCCCAUAAAUACGGUGACCUGUGAUUAAAAGCUCAGUUGACUCCCAGCCUAUGUGUCGUCUAGUUCUUGGGAAGGAAGGAUUUAUACAAUGCUACCGGGAUU